This 63-nucleotide transfer RNA is filed under the name Cadlina umiushi. RNAcentral describes it as "tRNA-Trp". It matches the Rfam family "tRNA". From Rfam's summary of the family: Transfer RNA (tRNA) molecules are approximately 80 nucleotides in length. Lineage: Eukaryota; Metazoa; Mollusca; Gastropoda; Nudibranchia; Chromodorididae. The record is from RNAcentral.
GGAAUUAUAGGUUAAAAAUAAAACCAUUGGCCUUCAAAGCCGAAAAUGAGUAUUCUAGUUUCG